GGGACUUACACUCCCAACCCCUGUGACAUACCAAUUGUUGCCUCGGCGGAUCAGCCCGCUCCCGGUAAAACGGGACGGCCCGCCAGAGGACCCCUAAACUCUGUUUCUAUAUGUAACUUCUGAGUAAAACCAUAAAUAAAUCAAAACUUUCAACAACGGAUCUCUUGGUUCUGGCAUCGAUGAAGAACGCAGCAAAAUGCGAUAAGUAAUGUGAAUUGCAGAAUUCAGUGAAUCAUCGAAUCUUUGAACGCACAUUGCGCCCGCCAGUAUUCUGGCGGGCAUGCCUGUUCGAGCGUCAUUUCAACCCUCAAGCCCCCGGGUUUGGUGUUGGGGAUCGGCGAGCCCUUGCGGCAAGCCGGCCCCGAAAUCUAGUGGCGGUCUCGCUGCAGCUUCCAUUGCGUAGUAGUAAAACCCUCGCAACUGGUACGCGGCGCGGCCAAGCCGUUAAACCCCCAACUUCUGAAUGUUGACCUCGGAUCAGGUAGGAAUACCCGCUGAACUUAAGCAUAUCAUAAGGCCGGAGGAAACCCCACACAAA
RNAcentral lists this ribosomal RNA (538 nucleotides) under fungal sp. SK8. RNAcentral's name for it is "eukaryotic LSU rRNA". The stretch from base 145 to 298 matches the Rfam family "5.8S ribosomal RNA". Lineage: Eukaryota; Fungi. The record is from RNAcentral.